GAUGAACGCUGGCGGCGUGCCUAAUACAUGCAAGUCGAGCGAACAGACGAGGAGCUUGCUCCUCUGACGUUAGCGGCGGACGGGUGAGUAACACGUGGAUAACCUACCUAUAAGACUGGGAUAACUUCGGGAAACCGGAGCUAAUACCGGAUAAUAUAUUGAACCGCAUGGUUCAAUAGUGAAAGACGGUUUUGCUGUUACUUAUAGAUGGAUCCGCGCCGCAUUAGCUAGUUGGUAAGGUAACGGCUUACCAAGGCAACGAUGCGUAGCCGACCUGAGAGGGUGAUCAGCCACACUGGAACUGAGACACGGUCCAGACUCCUACGGGAGGCAGCAGUAGGGAAUCUUCCGCAAUGGGCGAAAGCCUGACGGAGCAACGCCGCGUGAGUGAUGAAGGUCUUCGGAUCGUAAAACUCUGUUAUUAGGGAAGAACAAAUGUGUAAGAAACUAUGCACGUCUUGACGGUACCUAAUCAGAAAGCCACGGCUAACUACGUG
RNAcentral lists this ribosomal RNA (497 nucleotides) under uncultured bacterium. RNAcentral's name for it is "partial 16S ribosomal RNA". It matches the Rfam family "Bacterial small subunit ribosomal RNA", at positions 28 to 507 of the family's 1533-position model. The record is from RNAcentral.